This 68-nucleotide transfer RNA is filed under the name Marmota monax (woodchuck). It matches the Rfam family "tRNA". From Rfam's summary of the family: Transfer RNA (tRNA) molecules are approximately 80 nucleotides in length. Their secondary structure includes four short double-helical elements and three loops (D, anti-codon, and T loops). Further hydrogen bonds mediate the characteristic L-shaped molecular structure. tRNAs have two regions of fundamental functional importance: the anti-codon, which is responsible for specific mRNA codon recognition, and the 3' end, to which the tRNAs corresponding amino acid is attached (by aminoacyl-tRNA synthetases). tRNAs cope with the degeneracy of the genetic code in two manners: having more than one tRNA (with a specific anti-codon) for a particular amino acid; and 'wobble' base-pairing, i.e. permitting non-standard base-pairing at the 3rd anti-codon position. Lineage: Eukaryota; Metazoa; Chordata; Mammalia; Rodentia; Sciuridae. The record is from Rfam by way of RNAcentral.
GUUGUGGCUCAGUGGUAAAGCACUUGCCUGGCAUGUGUGAAGCCCUGGGUUCAAUACUCAGCACAACA